This 821-nucleotide ribosomal RNA is filed under the name Alteromonas sp. RNAcentral's name for it is "bacterial SSU rRNA". It matches the Rfam family "Bacterial small subunit ribosomal RNA", at positions 60 to 878 of the family's 1533-position model. The record is from RNAcentral. Lineage: Bacteria; Pseudomonadati; Pseudomonadota; Gammaproteobacteria; Alteromonadales; Alteromonadaceae.
AGUCGAACGGUAGCAGGAAGUGCUUGCACUUUGCUGACGAGUGGCGGACGGGUGAGUAAUGCUUGGGAACUUGCCUUUGCGAGGGGGAUAACAGUUGGAAACGACUGCUAAUACCGCAUAAUGUCUACGGACCAAACGGGGCUUAGGCUUCGGCGCAGAGAGAGGCCCAAGUGAGAUUAGCUAGUUGGUGGGGUAAAGGCUCACCAAGGCGACGAUCUCUAGCUGUUCUGAGAGGAAGAUCAGCCACACUGGGACUGAGACACGGCCCAGACUCCUACGGGAGGCAGCAGUGGGGAAUAUUGCACAAUGGGGGGAACCCUGAUGCAGCCAUGCCGCGUGUGUGAAGAAGGCCUUCGGGUUGUAAAGCACUUUCAGUUGUGAGGAAAAGUGAGUAGUUAAUACCUGCUCACCGUGACGUUAACAACAGAAGAAGCACCGGCUAACUCCGUGCCAGCAGCCGCGGUAAUACGGAGGGUGCGAGCGUUAAUCGGAAUUACUGGGCGUAAAGCGCACGCAGGCGGUUUGUUAAGCUAGAUGUGAAAGCCCCGAGCUCAACUUGGGAUGGUCAUUUAGAACUGGCAGACUAGAGUCUUGGAGAGGGGAGUGGAAUUCCAGGUGUAGCGGUGAAAUGCGUAGAUAUCUGGAGGAACAUCAGUGGCGAAGGCGACUCCCUGGCCAAAGACUGACGCUCAUGUGCGAAAGUGUGGGUAGCGAACAGGAUUAGAUACCCUGGUAGUCCACACCGUAAACGCUGUCUACUAGCUGUUUGUGGCUUUAAGCCGUGAGUAGCGAAGCUAACGCGAUAAGUAGACCGCCUGGGG